RNAcentral lists this long non-coding RNA (739 nucleotides) under Anas platyrhynchos platyrhynchos (common mallard). Its description in RNAcentral is "lncRNA (ENSAPLG00000023337.1)". Lineage: Eukaryota; Metazoa; Chordata; Aves; Anseriformes; Anatidae. The record is from RNAcentral.
GAACACCUUAGCUAGUGAUUUGUGUAGGAGGAAUUUGUGAUGGAUGUCGAUUGUUAGGGAAGGGAGAACCCAUAACUUAAUGCAGCAGAAUGGAGUUUAAAGGGAGAACUGGUAAAAAAUGAUUUUUCUUCUAGAAAUCUGACUUUUUUUUUUCUUUUUUUCUCCUGCAUAGCAUAGAGGAGAAGUCUUCCUUUGUAUCACGUUUCUGUUCUGCAAAGUGGCAAUAAUUGGCCUUCCUUUGGCUAAGGUGCCCUGGCUGGCUGGGGCUGUUGGUCGCAUGAUGAUGACAGAGGACAAAUUCGUCUCCAGAACUCACCUGGCAGCCAGCUUCCCCGUGUCCUUGCUGGAGAAGAGCUGGCAGGACGUGUGCUGUGUAUCGAUAAAACCAGAGGGAAACCCUGGGACCUCUCCGACCAGAGCUGGAAAUUAACUCGAUGCGAUUGUGUACGCAAUUUCUCUGCUCUGCUGCAGACUCAUCCAAGCCGUGGUGUUUGUGUGUCCCCUCCUGCAGUAAUGCUGGGGCUGGGGAAGCCAUCCUGUGACCACAUUUUGGUGACAAACUGUGAAUCACACACGGGUGUAAUCCCCAGUACGCCGAGGCUGGUGCAGGUUUGGGCUGAGAGCUGGUGGCUGUGUUGGGAAAGGCUCAGCAGCCUUUUAUCAGCCUGAAAUUUCAAAUUCAACCAGAAGAAGCAAAACCAUUCUUUCUCCUCUGUUUUGCCAGCGAGCUUUUAAUCAU